GUCCCAGUUGCGCCGCUUGGCCUGGUCUUAGCGUUUAAGGGGAAUUCCGGGCAGAGGUGCAGUGUUUCAUGACUCUGGGACACCGUGGCGGGACUGGAGAAGUGCUGGUCUCCUUUUUUGGCCCUGACCUUGGCCUCCGCCAUUUCCAGACGCGUCGUACUUUGUCAGGAGCCCAGUGCCUCCGUAAACAGUUCCCUCAACCUGGAAAGUUACCUCCGGCCUCCAAGCUCCGGGAGAGCUGCAGGUCGUCCUUUUAAGCCGGCUUUUCACCCUGCUGAGCCAACCGCGCCCUCUCGGAGCUCUCAGGGAGCUGUUACAACAUCUGUCACAAUAAACGAGUGCCCCUUACCUCGGCUCGGCAUCCCGGGCUGCUCGCAGAGGAGCUGGGACUCCAUUCCAAAGAUUCGGUUUUUAGCCCUGUUCUGUCCAACACUUGAAAUGCCCGGAUCCAAGCUCCUAGCUCUUCGUUUUAUUGUACACCGACCAAUCCCAAGUAUUUGCCUGUAACUUUGAUCAGUUCUGCGAACUCUUAGUUUCCUAUAAAGGAUAGUCUCCUUAGCCUUCCAGUUGGAAUGUAAGAGUUCUCUCUCUUUUUUUUCUUCCACAUUGAUUCUUUGUUUUUGAAUCACUGAGGAUUGAACUCUGGGGCGUUCUACCACUGAACUAUGUCUCCAACCUUUUUUCAUUUUUUUUUUUUUUUUUUUGAAAUUAGGUCUCACCAACUUUCCAAGGCUGGAAACUUGUCCGCCUCCUGAGUGGCUGAAAUUUACAGGCUUGCGCCACUGUGAACCUGCUUCAAUAGGUUUUACUGGAUUCACAGGCAGAGGGAUCUUGUUCAAAUCUAAUUUUACUGGAUUCACAGGCAGAGGGAUCUUGUUCAAAUCUAAGUCAGGUCAUGUCCCUCCUCUGCUCACUAAUCUGAUUCCAUGUCACACAAAAGGAAAAACAAGACUCCUUAUUUUGGCUUCUUGUUAUCUCCUUUCCCCAUUCAGUUGCAUUUCUCACCUCUGUACACAGAACUUUCACACUUAAUUCCGAUCUGUGCCCCUGUCACCUCCAGAGAUGGCUUUCCUUUCUGCCCUGUUUAAAAUAUUGCUACUUGCUGGAAUCGGUGGCUUGGGAGUCUGAGGCCAGAGGA
This 1138-nucleotide long non-coding RNA is filed under the name Marmota monax (woodchuck). The record is from RNAcentral. Lineage: Eukaryota; Metazoa; Chordata; Mammalia; Rodentia; Sciuridae.